UCGUGACCUGGCUGAAGUCGGACGCUUAACUGACUGCGCCACCCAGGCGCCCCAUGUAAACUGUCACACAGAAUGAUACUACUCCAAGUGUGACCAAUGAACCAGCAGCACCAGCAGCACCUGGGAAAUCGUCAGGAAUCCAGAAUUCCGGGCUCCGUUCCAGAGCUAUUCUCCAUUUCAGUGCGUCUUUUAAAAUUGAUUGUGCCUGGAACUAGUUGAGGCCUUUUAAUAUAAAUUAAACAUUUCUUUGCAAGA
Molecule: long non-coding RNA, 255 nt
Organism: Felis catus (domestic cat)
Lineage: Eukaryota; Metazoa; Chordata; Mammalia; Carnivora; Felidae
Exons: 2
Source: RefSeq, a predicted model, not a curated record